AUAAAGAUUCGAACAUUUCGCCUCUAUACAAUUUUAACAAGAAGGAAUUGGAUCCGGAUCAAACGAUCCAAAGCAUCCAUCUUUGACCAACUCGUAAUUUAUGUUUUUAGAGGUAUCACAACUUAGUUGGGAUUAGUCACUACCUUGCAACCUUUUUGGGUUUUAAGCAUCAUUAUAUUCUAAACAGUUAACACUACCAUAUCAUCUCUACUAUAGAGACAAUCAAUU
This 228-nucleotide long non-coding RNA is filed under the name Malus domestica (apple). Its description in RNAcentral is "long non-coding RNA (MDOM_LNC001911)". Lineage: Eukaryota; Viridiplantae; Streptophyta; Magnoliopsida; Rosales; Rosaceae. The record is from RNAcentral.